This 276-nucleotide ribosomal RNA is filed under the name uncultured bacterium. RNAcentral describes it as "partial 16S ribosomal RNA". It matches the Rfam family "Bacterial small subunit ribosomal RNA", at positions 82 to 354 of the family's 1533-position model. The record is from RNAcentral.
CCGUUGCCGGCGACCGGCGCACGGGUGAGUAACACGUAUGCAACCUGCCCGUGGCAGGGGGAGUAAGCGGGGGAAACCCCGUCUAAUACCGCGUAACGCGGCCUUGGGGCAUCCCAAGGCCGCCAAGGGAGCAAUCCCGGCCACGGAUGGGCAUGCGGCGCAUUAGCUAGUCGGCGGGGUAACGGCCCACCGAGGCGACGAUGCGUAGGGGUUCUGAGAGGAAGGCCCCCCACACUGGUACUGAGACACGGACCAGACUCCUACGGGAGGCAGCAG